Molecule: long non-coding RNA, 330 nt
Organism: Gallus gallus (chicken)
Lineage: Eukaryota; Metazoa; Chordata; Aves; Galliformes; Phasianidae
Source: Ensembl
CCCAGAUCUUGAGAAGAUAUCUCCUGCCACAGUCUGUGGCCUCGUGGAGAUGUCUGACUCUGAACGGUGAAUAGCAUGAAAAAUGUAGUGUUCGCAACUUCUUUUUUCAUGCAUUUGUGCAGAGGAGGUACCUUUAGAUUCCUCUGGUGGCUGGUGAAAUCUAAACAUAAAACAGUUCCUGUCUUUGAUGAAGUCAAAUAUUAGACUCCUGAACUGAGAUCAGAAUCAGCAGUGGAGCAUUUAGAUCUUAAUGACAUUAUUGUGAGCACCACUGGGACUGUUAUGCAGAUGUACUGCGUACUGGAGAAGUUGCUGCUUCAGGAUAAGCCA